ACAGACACACGGGCAAGCGAGUAGGUAAGUAAAUAGGUAGGUAGAUAGAUAAUGGAUAAUCCACGAUGGCUGAAAAAAGUGGACAAACAGAGAUCUUGAUCUAUAAACGUCUGGUGCGACCUUUUUCAUAGUAAAAUAAUUGAUUCGUAUUUUAUUGAUGGCACGCUAAAUAGUCGUAAAUACGAGAGAAUUUCAGAAGACGUUUUGCCAGAAUUGUUAAAAGACAUUUCACUGUAUAUAUGACAAUUCAUGUGGUUCCAAUAAGGCGAAUGUUCUGCUUACUCAGCAUGAAAUGUUAUAGAAUUUCCAACAGAAAAUUUGGAGAUUGUUGGAUUGGUCAAUCAGGAAAUAACAAAUGGCUGGCAAGACCUGACACCUCUAGAUCUUUAUUACUGGAGAAAAUUAAAGGAAGAAGUAUGCCACAAAAAACCAACAAUCAAACUUGGAAUGCAAGAACAUAUAAAGAGAACUUGCUCUAUAAUAGAUACAAAUGAAAUUUGUCAGGCAGUGCCAUCAGUAUUACAAUGUUUUAGACUAUGUAUCCAUGUUCAAGGUUGUUAUUUUAAACACUUGUACUAGCAUUAAGUAUGUAUAUAACAUGUUACAUGUAAAUCAUUGAAGUAUUCGAAGAGUGCUCUGAAGCAAUCUAUUUUCUAUUGCAGUUGACCUUAGGUAACCUUGAAUGACCUUCAUAAUACUCUACCAAAUUAUAAAUAAGAAACCAAUUAUAAAUAAGAUACUAUUGCAUU
Bombus impatiens (common eastern bumble bee) is the source of this 749-nucleotide long non-coding RNA. RefSeq lists it as uncharacterized. The record is from RefSeq and is a predicted model, not a curated record. Lineage: Eukaryota; Metazoa; Arthropoda; Insecta; Hymenoptera; Apidae. The transcript is spliced from 2 exons.